Molecule: ribosomal RNA, 798 nt
Filed under: uncultured bacterium
Lineage: Bacteria
Description: bacterial SSU rRNA
Rfam family: Bacterial small subunit ribosomal RNA
Source: RNAcentral
UCUUCGGAGUGAGUGGCAGACGGGUGAGUAACGCGUGGGAAUCUACCUAGUGGUGGGGGAUAACUUCGGGAAACCGGAGCUAAUACCCCAUAAGCCCUUCGGGGGAAAGUUUUUCGCCAUUAGAUGAGCCCGCGUUAGAUUAGCUAGUUGGUAGGGUAAUGGCCUACCAAGGCGACGAUCUAUAGCUGGUCUGAGAGGAUGAUCAGCCACACUGGGACUGAGACACGGCCCAGACUCCUACGGGAGGCAGCAGUGGGGAAUAUUGCACAAUGGGCGCAAGCCUGAUGCAGCCAUGCCGCGUGUGUGAUGAAGGCCUUAGGGUUGUAAAACACUUUCAUCGGUGAAGAUAAUGACGGUAGCCGAAGAAGAAGCCCCGGCUAACUCCGUGCCAGCAGCCGCGGUAAUACGGAGGGGGCAAGCGUUGUUCGGAAUUACUGGGCGUAAAGCGCACGUAGGCGGACUGGUCAGUUGGGGGUGAAAUCCCGAGGCUUAACCUCGGAACUGCCUUCAAUACUGCCAGUCUUGAGAUCGGAAGAGGUGAGUGGAAUUCCUAGUGUAGAGGUGAAAUUCGUAGAUAUUAGGAAGAACACCAGUGGCGAAGGCGGCUCACUGGUCCGAUACUGACGCUGAGGUGCGAAAGCGUGGGGAGCGAACAGGAUUAGAUACCCUGGUAGUCCACGCCGUAAACGAUGGAUGCUAGCCGUCGGACAGUAUACUGUUCGGUGGCGCAGUUAACGCAUUAAGCAUCCCGCCUGGGGAGUACGGUCGCAAGAUUAAAACUCAAAGGAAUUGACGGGG